AUGCCCCGCGCGACGCCGUCGGUUACCCGGGUGGGCACGCGGUCGGCGUGGUCGGCGAGGAUGAGCAUGCGCGAUCUGGUGACCGGUGGCGCCGGCUGCGCGGCGCCGGGAUCCUCCUCGUCCGCCAACCCCCUCAGCGCCCUCGCGGACGCCGUGCUCGGCUCCUCCAAAUCCGAGUCAAACAAGUCUUCCAGCUCUUCUGUGCUGCUUAAUGGCAUGCCUGGACCGAGGUUCCAGUGCUGCAGGGGUUUGAGACAAGGGGACCCCCUCUCCCCAUAUCUGUUAUCAUCGUUGCUGGCGUGCUUAAGAGGCUCCGAGGAUGAGAUCAAGCAAAGUCAGGGACCUAUUAGAAGCAUGAAGGGCACCGACUUCAUUCAUGGGUGUCAUGGAGACACCUGUGGUGAAAAUUUUCAAGCCUCAAUCCCUUCUGUUCCUGAACACAGAAUGAUCGAGCCUCACCUUGGAGAGCUGGAGCAAAUUGAUAGUGCUACUGGUCCACCAGAGAUGGCUAUUCCCCCUCUGUUGCCUCAAAGUUCAUUUCAGCCGUGCAAUUUAUCAGAAAAUGGACCAGAAGAAUAUUCAGGAGCAAAGGAUGGAUUGUUGGAUCAUAUAGACCAUCUUUAUGAUGAUGAAAUGAGAUCCUCUGGAAACAUAAGCACGGAAGUCAAUAGUUGGUUAUCUGCAUUUGAACAGGGAAUACAUCCACGAGUCAUGAGUGACGACGAGCUGUCAGGUGAUGGCUGGUUGUCAUUCCUGCGGAUUGCCAUCAGCCACCUGGGUGGACUUUCCCAACCAAGGUUUCUGGAAGAGCAGAUCACCUGUCAGGAUCAGGUUACUGGGCAUCGUGUAUGGAUCAAGCUACAGCAACGCUCUGGCUGGUCGGUUAAACUGGAAGCUACGCGCCACCACCUCUUCGACGCCCUGCAGGACGCGGCAAUGCUGGCCGUUAUUACCAUGAGGCAGCAUUUCCCUUGCGAGUUCAGAGGCACUCCGUUUGAAGUUCUGCCUGUGGAACCCGGGCAAAGGAGCAGGCAGCUAGACGACGGUGCCGCGGUCGUCCGCGGCGGUGCCAUGGCUUCCGCUUUUACGGGGAUCGAUCACGAUGAUGUCCAACGUCUUCUCGCGGUCGGCUUCAUGUCCCUUUUCCAUGAGCGUUCCCAGUCUUUGCAACGUUUGAGGGAGCACGAGAUGAAGCAGCAGCUGCUGAUCGCGGAGAUAGAGAAGAUGGUGGAAGAGCUCGAUGGUUCCCCAACCCGGACGCAGGAGUUGGAUCGAAGAAUUGCGGAGCUGAAAAGGAAGUCGGGGGAGAUGCAUGGACUUCAUGCGCAUGCUGUCAAAGGAUACAUCGGUUGGUCAGUUUUCGUCUCAAACGAGGCGCAGCAGGAGAUGAAGCCAUUGGAGGAUGGGGAUGAGGUACCACCUGCAAUUGCAAGCUCCUCAGCAGUAUCGGGCAGGGCCAGGCUGUGA
This 1467-nucleotide ribosomal RNA is filed under the name Triticum aestivum (bread wheat). RNAcentral describes it as "partial small subunit ribosomal RNA". The record is from RNAcentral. Lineage: Eukaryota; Viridiplantae; Streptophyta; Magnoliopsida; Poales; Poaceae.